Small nuclear RNA from Sorex araneus (European shrew), 172 nucleotides. RefSeq annotates it as U1 spliceosomal RNA. The record is from RefSeq and is a predicted model, not a curated record. Lineage: Eukaryota; Metazoa; Chordata; Mammalia; Eulipotyphla; Soricidae. The transcript has a single exon.
AUACUUACCUGAUGGGAGGGAGAGGGGGAAGAUACCAUGAUCAUAAAGGUACUUUACUCAAGGUGAGGCUUAUCCAUUGCUCUCUAAAGUGUUGACCCCUGUGAUUUCCCCAAAUGUGGGAAACUCAACUGCUUAAUUUGUGGUAGUGGGGUACUAUGUUCUUGCUCUCAAA